AUGCAAGUCGAGGGGUAUGCUUCUUCGGAAGCAGAGACCGGCGCACGGGUGCGUAACGCGUAUGCAAUCUGCCUUUCACAGAGGGAUAGCCCAGAGAAAUUUGGAUUAAUACCUCAUAGCAUAGCACAAUCGCAUGAUUGAGCUAUUAAAGUCACAACGGUGAAAGAUGAGCAUGCGUCCCAUUAGCUGGUUGGUAAGGUAACGGCUUACCAAGGCUACGAUGGGUAGGGGUCCUGAGAGGGAGAUCCCCCACACUGGUACUGAGACACGGACCAGACUCCUACGGGAGGCAGCAGUGAGGAAUAUUGGUCAAUGGGCGCAAGCCUGAACCAGCCAUGCCGCGUGCAGGAUGACGGUCCUAUGGAUUGUAAACUGCUUUUGUACGAGAAGAAACACUCCUUCGUGAAGGAGCUUGACGGUAUCGUAAGAAUAAGGAUCGGCUAACUCCGUGCCAGCAGCCGCGGUAAUACGGAGGAUCCAAGCGUUAUCCGGAAUCAUUGGGUUUAAAGGGUCCGUAGGCGGUCUGGUAAGUCAGUGGUGAAAGCCCAUCGCUCAACGGUGGAACGGCCAUUGAUACUGCUGGACUUGAAUUAUUAGGAAGUAACUAGAAUAUGUAGUGUAGCGGUGAAAUGCUUAGAGAUUACAUGGAAUACCAAUUGCGAAGGCAGGUUACUACUAAUGGAUUGACGCUGAUGGACGAAAGCGUGGGUAGCGAACAGGAUUAGAUACCCUGGUAGUCCACGCCGUAAACGAUGGAUACUAGCUGUUG
Molecule: ribosomal RNA, 769 nt
Filed under: Flavobacterium sp. M140_2
Lineage: Bacteria; Pseudomonadati; Bacteroidota; Flavobacteriia; Flavobacteriales; Flavobacteriaceae
Description: bacterial SSU rRNA
Rfam family: Bacterial small subunit ribosomal RNA
Source: RNAcentral